This 217-nucleotide long non-coding RNA is filed under the name Capsicum annuum. RNAcentral's name for it is "long non-coding RNA (CANN_LNC008749)". The record is from RNAcentral. Lineage: Eukaryota; Viridiplantae; Streptophyta; Magnoliopsida; Solanales; Solanaceae.
UCCACAAGAGGUAAAAUCCAAUCCUCGUCGUUUUCAAAUAUAUAGCUAGAUAACCUGUAACUUUGUUAGAAAGCAUGAUUUAGAUAUUUCUUUUAUCUUUAGUUAUGAUUAUGAUGUUUUAUUGGCUUUUCGUUCCUGAUGUUAAAAAAUGCCCCUCUCUGGUAGUUAAAUAUGAACGCAAUAUGGUAGAUGAGGCCUUCAUGUUUUAAUAUGUUAG